This 163-nucleotide small nuclear RNA is filed under the name Neogale vison (American mink). RNAcentral describes it as "Neovison vison (American mink) U4 spliceosomal RNA (ENSNVIG00000024440.1)". Lineage: Eukaryota; Metazoa; Chordata; Mammalia; Carnivora; Mustelidae. The record is from RNAcentral.
GGCUUUGCACAGUGGCAUACCGUAGCCAAUGAGAUUUAUCCGAGGUGCAGUUAUUGCUAACUGAGAACUGGUGUGGGAGUUUUUCAACACUGAUCUCAAUUAUACCUGAAAGUUCUGGAUUAUUUGAGCUUUCCUGUUUGUGACUUUUAAAAACAUGUACAUG